UAAUCCCAAGCAGUGCACCUUACUAUGUAGCAAAGCAAAAGAGGGGACGUCCUCUCCCGAGGACACCUGCUCCUGGUUGCAAACACUGUCAGAUACUGUUCACUGAGCUACAGGUGGUGAAGCAGUUGCUAGAGUGUGAACUUGAUAGGAAUCAUGAGUUCAAGCAGAUACAUUCUUCAACCAAGUGUGCAAAUGUUAAAUAUAGCAGACGUAAACGGUUUUCAUCCAGCAAAGCCCCUCACUAUGUAAGACUGGUGGAAGAAUUUAGGGCCCAUGCAGAAGGUGUGAACCCUAGCAGAAAAAUACAUGAAAAUGCAAGGCAGCGGGCCACUCAUGUCAUCCAGUUUCUGGAAUUCAUGGCAGACCCAGCAAUUCCAAACACUGACCUUCUGUUUCUGAGGAACCAUGGAAAAGUCCGUGAUUUUCUAGCACACCUGCAAGCAAAAGGGUUUAAACCAACAACUCAGAGAGCUUAUCUCAUGGAUGCUAUUGCUUUCAUGAAAUAUAUAUUAAACAUGUCACCACCACAAGUCAGACUUGGAAAUAAAAGGAUCAACGCCCUUUUGGUCGAACUGAGGGCACGUAACAGAGAUGUUGGCCGUGAAGUAGUCGUGCACCAGCUGAAUGUGCGCCGAUCUAAGUCUAAAAGGCUUGUCAAAGCAGAAAAACAUGCUUUGUUCAUUGAAGAGGCUCCCCAGAAGAUUGCUGCCGCACUGGAUGACCUCGAGAAGCAACCCCAGAACAGAACAAUAUUGAAAUUGUUUUU
Oreochromis aureus is the source of this 766-nucleotide long non-coding RNA. NCBI's taxonomy places the organism in Eukaryota, Metazoa, Chordata, Actinopteri, Cichliformes, Cichlidae. The record is from Ensembl.